CGACGAGGCGCGAGGGCGGUGGCGGCGGGAGGCGGGGGCUGGCGAGGCGCUGAGGGAAGGGUGCGGGGGGCGGAGAAAAUCGAUGGCGACAGGCCGGCGUCGCGCCUGGGGUGGCAGGGAGGCUGCCUCUUGUCAGGCCCCGCUCCUCUUCGCUGCCCGCGGGCCGCGCCAGGGGACGGGAGCCAAGCGCUACAGAGACCGGGGCAGCGCUGCCCACGGGAGGUGGGAGAGCUUGCAAUGGAAGAGAAACGUCUACAAACAAGCAAGCAUGACUUCAAAAACAUCAGAAGGGAGUUUCACUGGCACGUCUAGAACCUGAAAAAUUGAAUGCUUCACAAACCACUUCCAGCUGCUGGUGUGUUGGAGAACAAGUACAGAAGCAGGAAAUAGAGGAGGUUAAUUAUGCUUCACCUGUGUGAAAUGACUGCUGAGGUAAUGCAGGUGUGAUACUUGCAAAGGUUUGUAAGAAGCGAAAUGUUUCUUGCCUAUAGUCACCCAAGUAUCCUGUCACAUGGACAGGACUAGCCAUGAUGGCUAGUAGCAUUUAUGGCUGAGCAAAAUGCAGUCAUCUAAAAAUACCCUAUCAAAAGGAGCUGCAAACUUUACAAGAGUAGAAAUGCCUGGGAUGGACAUCAAAACACGUGCUGAAUCAUGCCGUAGGGUCGGUUACGCUGGCAGUGGUAGGCUAUCUCCCACUAGAUCUAAGUUUGCUUUCUAAGAUUUAGAGAUUGUUGCAAACAAGGAAGCUUAAUUUAGAGUUUAAAAAAAUACAGUAUUUGGCUAACAUGAACUGUUUGGGGAACAUAUUUGUUAUUGUUAUGUUCAUAAAUUUAGAUGUGUCUUAACUCUUUUUUGAUUUUUUUUUUUUCCAUAGCUACUGACUAAGUCGUGGCUCAUUUAACAUCCAUGCAAAAAUAUUUCAUGUCACCCAUUUUGAGAUUGCCACUAUCAAGUUCCUGUUUCUUGUACAGUAAGACAGGAGAGCAGGUGUUUUUGUGUUUAACUCUUGACAUUAUUCCCUGAUUGCUUUUGUCCUGUCAUUUGCUAUCUUCCUAGGAUAAAUAAUCCAAAUCUAUCAAAAUACUGUUUUUUUAUAAAAGCCUUUUCCCCCAAACAUGCCCACAGACAGAUUCAUCCAUAUCACUUUUUCUGAGGUAGGAUGUACUGUAUACUAUGCCAGAGGAGAAAAUAAAUUCCUUUAUGUUUAGAUAUUCUAUUACUUGGUAUUAACCAGUAUGUUAUUUAUUCCCUCUGUGUUCUAUUAGCUUAUUUGUUUUCUGACUACAGCUUUGUGAGGAUUAGAGAUAGCACACGGAUAUUUACCUAAAAGCCCAGUUUCUGCUUUUCAGUUGACAUAAACGAAUUAAAACCUGUCAUACUCAGCAGCAGUACUUGGGUUCCUCUCCACAUGCAUUAUUUUGCAUUUUCAAUAUGGGACUUAAUUCAUCAUUACAUGAUCCAUUCCAUUUUGUUAGGUCUUCGCCCUCAAUACAGUCCUCUCUUGUCUUGCUUAGCUGAAAUAAUUGUGGCAGCUGCAAAUUUUACUAUCUUACAGUACAGCACUCUUUCUAAAUCAGUGGUAAAUACAGCAGCAAUAUGCAACAUGCAACAGAGCCCUGAAGCAGGCUGUCAUUAACCUUCUGCCAUUGCAGAAACUCACUGUUGAAUUCUGCUCUUUGUUUUCCAUCUCCACCAAAAUCUCUUUGGUUUUAGGGUGGGGUUUUUUUAAUGCUUUCAAAUAAUUUCAGCACAUGGAUCAGCCAGAAAUUAUUUUGCUUUGCAGAAAAGUCUAGUUAGGCCUAAUUUCUGAUGCAGAAAUUUUCUUCUGUAUGCUUGUUUUUUUAUUUGUGUACUUUUAGUGACUGUUUCACCCAAAGAAGAGAAGAUGCAAUCCAAGCUUUCCAGCAACUGAGGAUAUUUGUUUGGCCUCUUUUUGAACAUAUCAACACGGUGUCAACAUGUCAGACAGGGGUUUUAAUGUGAGUGCAGGUGAUUAUUUCCCUCCAUCACUCCAGGACCCAGCUUCCCCAGGCAGACGUGCUGCAUGGGCAUCAGCUUAUGGUGCACCCAUCAGCUGUCCUUGGGGAACCCACAGCCAGAGGAGAGGGGUGAGCGGCCCCUGACUGACACCCUCCAGGAAGCAGCCAUAAGGAUAAAGCUUUCCUGAGUGCACAAGCACGUCUUCUUCUCACCACAGAGCAUGGCCUCGACGUUGCUGGGGUUAAUUUAACUGCUGAAUCCUGUGUUGGCUGCUCUCUGUGAUGAGUGAGUAGGUGGGCUGUGGCCAUCUGUGCCAGGGAUGCCAGCAGCGUUCUGGUUGUCAUCGAGAAACACAGGCAGGAUUCUCCUUGGGAGUCUAUUUUUGUGUAUUUCCUUUGUCCCCCUGUAGGACCGAGCCUCCUAGUGACACAUGAAUUUAGUACAUAUGCUACGGCUGCCAGCCUGACAAACGUCCAGCCUCUUUCUCUCUGAAAUCUAAUAUAUUCCUGUUCGUAGUGAUGGUAACUGUUUGCUGUUCUUUAGUAUUUUUCCUGCUUAAGUUUUUCCAAUGCGUAGUUUCUUUGUAACUGUUUUGGAACUAAUUUUCCCUGCUUCAAGAAGCUGCUUGGAAAUCAGCAGUCUGUUAUUUAUUGUUGUACCUACUAUGCUGAAUUGCUGGUCCUAGUGAGAAAAAAAAACCCACUAAGAAGUAGGCUAUGAUAUUUUAACAGUGUUAAGGAUAGAUCUCUUCAAACCACUUGGGUGAUUUUUUGCUGAGCCCUUUACUAUUUGGACUAUUUUUUCUUUCUUGUUAAUUUAAUUGCUCAUAUAUAGGAUAGGCUUGAUGAACUGACAAAUGAAAGACUUGCCAAAAUCAAUCACAUAUGAAUUAUAGGCCAUCAUGAGCUAUUAACUUGGUUGAAUCAAAUGGUAAUCAAGUUGCAAUUUACAGUAUUACCGUAUUGUUCACACAUAGCAUGGUGCUUCUGCUUUUAUGAAACUUAGUAAUCCACUCAAGGAAAUUAUUUUUUUGCAUGAGUCAACUCUACCUGUGCCUAUCAUCUUAGACCAAGAGUGAUUAGAAAUCUCUCUUGUUUGCCAGUGCUUCACUUGUGGUAUUUAUAUAUAUAUAUAUAUAUAUAUGUAUAUAUGUAUAGUUUUGGUACUUGAACACCAGUGUGUAUACACAGCAGGAGCAGGCUUGUUUUCUUUAUACUGUUCUUACCUUUCUAGGAUGUACAUGGGCACUGUGAUUUAUGGGGACCCCAAGUUUUAUGGAAGUAUGAUCUACUCUUUGUACAAAAUCUCACCAAAUUUAAUCUCUAUAGCCCUGUUUCUUUGAAUUUAUUUGCAUUUUGUUAAUGAGUUUGAAGCUUAAUCAUAGUUAACUUCAUGUUUUUCUUCCAAAGUUAUUAAUAGCUCUUUACCAUAUCCUCUUUCCACACUGAAGAACAAUUAUUUUUGAUCAUUUUCUGGUUCAUCAGGUGGGGAUUCUUUGCCCAGUAUUAAAAGGCAGUUUAAGGAGAACUGAAAAUUUGUUUAUCGGGAUAGAUCAUAAAUAGAAGAUUUUAUAGUCUUUGCUGUCUUGGCUACUGUACAAGUAUCGUGUUCUAACUAAAAUGUCAAAAUGAUCACAGAAAUAAAAUGCCCUCCAAGCAAGAAUAUAAUGUGUUUUAUUCACAAGACAAAAUCAUGCGGAGGGCGGGAUAGAAAAUAUUAUGAGACACAUUGGUUUAUUACUUUUGUGAAAACAGAUACCAAACCAUAACACUAUUAGAGAAGUGAUUCUCAGCUAGUGGGUCAAAAUCCAUUUCUGAGUCACCAUGGAUUUCUGCUGAGGGUGGAAGCAAGCUGGCAUUAUUUGAAUGUUGGAAUAUAAAGAAAAAAUCCUUGGAGAGUAACUAAAAAACAAACCAAACCAAACACUGCCCCCACCCCGCAAACAAUACCAAAAACCCCAGAACAAGCAAACAAGCACCAACCAAAACAAAAACAAAAAAAAAAAAAAAAAAAAAAAAAAAAGAAAAAAAAACAACCAAA
Molecule: long non-coding RNA, 4020 nt
Organism: Columba livia (rock pigeon)
Lineage: Eukaryota; Metazoa; Chordata; Aves; Columbiformes; Columbidae
Exons: 2
Source: RefSeq, a predicted model, not a curated record